GGACAACCAGUUCUAAAAGGGCUUCUAAAUUUAACAACCGGUUCCAGCUCACCACUGGUUAAAUUCCAACAAGUCAAAUCCUUUGUUCUGUGCUGCAAGUUUACACAGUGCUUAGCAAUAGGCAAGGUGUACUAAAACAAAAACAGAAUAACUGCCCCAAAGAUCAGUAUUAUUAUAGUUCUGUUUCAUUCCAGAGUGGAUUACAAAGCGUUGAGGAAAAGGAUGUUUUGAAAUUGACGGACAGUGGAGUGGGAACUGGCUUCUCAAAUUGGACCUCUAAAAAUUUUGCAGCAUCAGCCACAAAAAAAUAAACGAUACUUUCCCUUAAGAUCACAUGUAUUAGAGCUGAGUACAGGAACAAUAUUGUUACAUUAUUUUCCCAAAAGGUAGAUCUUACAUUAAUAAAAUAUUUUAUUUUUAUUUUGUGACAUUUAAGAAAGAUCUGGAGAAAUAAGAUUCUUGGACUAAUCAUAACCCUUUUUCUCACAGCUGGGGUUACUCACUAAUUAUCUGGAAAUGAUCCCAUUGUAACUCCAAAAUAUUCUUACAUUCAACUUUCAUCAUCUGAAACACUGCCUUCAAAAAGCUCUGAAACAUCUUGGUAAUGGAAAAUGUCACAUCAGUGGAGAAGCAAAUGAAGAGCUGUGUGUUGUCAGCUUAUUGUUGAUAUUGGAGUCAUGGCAUUUCACUAUUUCCUCAAGUGUUCUCAUGUUGUAUGUUGAAGAAGCAAGAUCAUAUUGAAAAGGGAACCUCAAAAUGAGUGUUCUAGGAAAGAAGGAGCGCCUCAUUCUCUGUGAUACGUUUAAUAGGAAGGAAUGAAUGAAGCCACCUGAGUACUAUUCUGUCUGCUCCUGCCAUGUCGUUUAUAUAAGCUAGCAGCACUUCAUGAUCAAAGGCUGCCUAGAAAUCAAGAAGUAUUGGAAUAGAGGUUUGGCCCCUCUCUAAGGACAUCAGUAGGCCAUUAAUUAUGGCUUUUUCCUCAUACUUCUCUCUUCCCCAACUCUCAACCAGUGGUUAUAGGCCCUAUGUAAAGAAACUUCAAUCUUGUAUGUUUUAGGAGCCAUCCAUAGAGACACGUGAGUGUGAUCAGUGGGAUUCACAAACACUCCAAACAAGCGGGAGGAAAGACUAAACUAUAUACCAAAAAAUUCUGCUCACACGGAACACACAUAGAGGGAUAAUUUAUAGAAAUUACAUUACAAAUAGAAAUUAGCUCAAUGGACCUGAUCAAAUAUGUACAGUAAAAUGCUGUUCUAUGCUUCUAAUUGAAACUAACUUAUACUUGGGUCCCCAAACUCAAUCUUAUCUGUUGUGUAGAAGGCCCAUAAGUAACUUGUCCAAGGCCACAUGGUGAGUCAAGGACAGACCCAAGAUUAGAACGUAGGAAUUCCCAGCCCUAAGAUCCGUCCACAAGAACAUGCUGGCUCUGGUAUUAUACCUUGUAGUUGGGUUCCAGAUAGGAGUGUUUAUGUGAGAAUCUAAAAUAUAUAAAAUCAUCUUUUUGUAUGUGUUUCUAUUAAAAUAAAAUGCUGGUGUCUUCACUUAAGAACUGAGUCUUUAGAAUAAAGUUUGCUGUUUCCUGCUCCCUGCCCCUGUGUUCUAUAUAAUUUAUUGGAAAAACUGAAAGUUAAAUUGUGACUAGAUCUUAAACCAUAGAUCAUUUUUUCCUUGCAUCUUUAGGCAUUCUCUUGUGUUGGUUAUUUUUAAUGUAACAAAAACUAGUAUGCAAACAAAUGUCUUUUGGAUACUUGUUUCAAAGUAAGGCAUUUCAAUUAUUUAAUGCACAUUUUAAGAUUUGGUAGAUGAGGAUCUCUGAUAACAUCUCAGCAACAGCUAAAAUUGUAUUUUCCUGCUGUAACUGUGGUUCUUGAAUAUUCAUUAUUUAUAUAUAUAUAUUUUUUGUGAUUAAAGUAUUUUUUCUUCUGUCUUAUUUUGAGUAUUUAGUAUUUAUUUUUCAGCAACAGUAUUCUUGCUCUGGUAAUCUGACUUCCUAAGAAUACACAAGACGUGAUUACAGAUGGAUCAUCGGUAGUACUUUAAAUAUAUACAGCAAAGCUUUUGACACGGUCUCCCACAGUAUUCUUGUCAGCAAGUUAAGGAAGUAUGGGCUGGAUGAAUGCACUAUAAGGCCUGUGGUACAGGAUCGAGUCCAUAUGGAGCCUGAAUCUCCUGUUUCCCAUGGAGUCACUGGCAAGCAGGUGAUACAUGCCGCUUUCUUAUCAGCCCUGAAGAUGUUGGAUGUUGGAAAAUGGCCAAUUUUUGCUCUCUGCUCUCAAGAAGAACUGAAGUUAAUUCGUCAAGCCUGUGUAUUUGGCAGUGCUGGUAAUGAAGUGUUGUAUGCAACUGAAAAUGAUGAGGUGUUUGUGCUUGGCACCAACUGCAGUGGCUGUUUGGGAACAGGCGACAUUCAGAGCACUAUUGAACCACAGAGAUUAGAUACUUUAUGUGGCAAAAAGAUAGCCUGUCUGAGCUAUGGAAGUGGUCCUCAUGUUGUUGUUACUACUGCAGAAGGAGAAGUGUACACAUGGGGCCAUAAUGCUUAUAGUCAACUGGGCAAUGGUACAACAAAUCAUGGUUUAGUUCCCUGUCAAGUCUCUACUAACUUGGUAAACAAGAAAGUAAUUGAAGUCGCCUGUGGCUCUCACCAUUCCAUGGUGUUAACAUCUGAUGGAGAGGUAUAUGCAUGGGGUUAUAAUAAUUCAGGACAGGUUGGAUCUGGUUCAACAGCUAAUCAGCCAAUUCCUCGAAGAGUUACCAGCUGCCUACAAAAUAAGAUAGCUGUUAAUAUAGCUUGUGGACAGAUGUGCUCAAUGGCUGUUGUAGAAAAUGGGGAGGUCUAUGUCUGGGGUUACAAUGGUAAUGGCCAGCUUGGAUUGGGUAGCAGUGGUAAUCAGCCAACACCCUGUAGAAUAGCUGCUUUGCAAGGCAUUCGUGUGCAGCGGGUUGCCUGUGGCUAUGCACAUACAUUAGUGCUAACAGAUGAAGGUCAGCUGUAUGCAUGGGGAGCCAAUUCGUAUGGUCAAUUAGGCACUGGCAAUAAAAGUAACCAGUCUUACCCUGCACCAGUUAUUGUUGAUAAGGACAGAGUUAUAGAAAUUGCAGCCUGCCAUUCUGCUCACACUUCUGCUGCUAAAACCCAGGGUGGCCAUGUGUAUAUGUGGGGUCAGUGCCGUGGCCAGUCUGUGAUUCUUCCACACCUUACGCACUUUGCCUGCACAGAUGAUGUGUUUGCUUGUUUUGCUACUCCUGCUGUGACAUGGCGUCUCCUAUCAGUAGAACCUGAUGACCACCUAACAGUAGCCCAAUCACUGAAGAAGGAAUUUGACAAUCCUGACACUGCAGACUUGAAGUUUCUAGUGGAUGGAAAAUAUAUUCAUGUUCAUAAAGUCCUUCUCAAAAUUAGGUGUGAGCAUUUUCGUUCCAUAUUAAAUAACAAUGAUGAUGAUAUUAUUGAAAUGAGUGAAUUCUCUUAUCAAGUUUACCGAGCCUUCCUGGAAUAUUUGUACACAGACAGCAUCAGUCUCCCUCCUGAGGAUGCAAUAGGGCUGCUAGAUUUGGCAACAUUCUAUAGAGAAAAUAGAUUGAAAAAGCUUUGCCAGCAAACUAUCAAACAAAGCAUUUGUGAGGAGAAUGCAAUUGCUCUUCUUUCAGCUGCAGUCAAAUAUGAAGCUGAGGACUUAGAAGAAUUUUGCUUCAGGUUUUGUAUAAACCACUUGACUGUAGUUACACAAACUACAGGCUUUGCAGAAAUGGACCAUGACCUCUUGAAGAACUUCAUUAGCAAAGCAAGCAGAGUAGGAGCAUUUAAAAACUGAAGAAUGCUUGCUUCAAAGAAAGAUACUUUCAUCAUGGGAACAUUUCCUCUUUGAAAAACUUAUCAGCACUCAGAAUGCCUGGAAGAAAAGAGGACAACAUCCAUUAAAGUCAGUGUUAAUGUUGAUGGGCGGAUUUAAUAAGCUUCCAUGUAGCCUAAUGCACAAGCUUUGUGAAGAUGGGUAUGGUAUAGAAUAAACAAUAGAUAUAAACAAUCUGCCAACAACUUAGGUUUAAAAAAAAUCGUAAUGGAAUAAUUAAGUUUUCCUUUAAAAUCAAGUGGACUGUUCACUAUUUUCCAUUUAUAUUCCUUGUUUUCUCCCUUGAAAUAUUUUCAAAAACAGCUCUUUAACAUUUUCAUCUGAGUUUACUGGAUCGCAUGAAGCUGGCGGUUGCUAAAGCUUCAUUAUGCACCUUUAAGGUCAGUCAAAGUAAAUGUGCUACAAGAAGGUUCCUUUCUGGUUAAUUGAUCACCCCCUCUAGAGAAGUGUUGAGCUAGAAGCUUGUUUUGCUAAAUAUAGGAUAAAGGAAUAUAUCAUACAAAUUCCUCUUAAAAGAGCCCCUAAUAUAAAGAAAAAGCCACAGAAUGGAUACUUUGUAAAUUAGGAGCAGCCAAGGCUCAGUAGAAGGCUAUGCUGAAUUUAAGUAUGAAGGACUUAUUUUAAAGGCCUAGUUUUGAGUUCUUGGCUCUUAAAGUCAUUUUCUUGGAUGAAAAACAAUUGGUUCUUUUUUCCAGGGACUUUACCUCACCUUUCCAGUGGAACACUAACUUCUAAUUGGUUUUGUCAUGUAAUGAGUUAUUUCACUGUUAGUUUUGCUGCUCAGAAACACACCUCUUCACCUGCCAUGAAAAGGAAACUCAAUGAAAAGGAAUUAUCAAUUGACUUUUCUGCCAGUGUUUACAGAUAAGACAGGUGCUUGACAUGAAUUAUAUGUGUGGGAGGAGGGAUAGGGAAAGUUAUAAAUCAAUUCAAUGAUUAAAUAAGAAAAGUUAAACUGAAAGUCUUUUCAAGUAGUAACCAGGUGCCAUUCAAAUACUUCCUAAAGCAAUAGGUGGAGAAGGUUUCAGUAUGCUAAUUCUUACGUGGAAAGACUUUUGCACUGUGACACAGAAUGCUGAGAUUAUAAAAUGUUUAUCAGUUUUGGUUUCUGUUAUGGUAAAGAAGACUAAUUUGUAUGUAAAUUACUUAAUCUAAUUUCUGUUAAAUGAACUGGCUUCACAAACUGAUGGGCCAGUGGUUAGGACACCACCCUAGCCUUGCUCUGUCAUAGACAUCCUGUGUGCUCUUGGGCAUGUCUACACAGCAGCUGGGAGGUGUAAUUCCUACUUCUGGUUCCAUACAUCUGGUUGCUCUGCUCCAGUUAGCACCUACAAAUUGCAGCAUGACCAUCCUGGGGUGACCCCAAAAACAGACUCACGGUACCACCAGAAUAGCUUUAUCUAUUGCCCCCUCCUGGAUUUAGCAGAGGUUCCCUAACAGGUAGCCUCCCAACUUUUACUUGGUUUCUGCAGGGUGAAAGGGAAUGACUUGGGUUUACUAGCAGUUCCUUUUUAGAAAAACUCCCCAGAAUAUCUUAGACCAGUUACCCUUGGGAGGACUCGGAUACAGCCUAUCAAUAGAAUUGAUAGAUACACAGGCGGUACUUUUCCAAAAAAAGUAUCUUUUAUUACAGUAGCACACUGCUAAUCCCUGGCUACAAUGUAAUCUAAGCAUAAAGCACUGGAAAUAAAUCCCUUACCACAAUUCCUUAAUACAGAUUUUAAAAUUUCCCAAUUGCAAUGUCAUACAAUUAGAACAGUAUUAAGCGUUGCACGAUGCAUACGGUGAUCAGCAGUGUGCAGUCCUGACAGCAAUCUUAAAUCUUCAACUUUAUACAUAUGAAUGUUACAUUGUUUUAUAACACACACCUUUAUUAACCCAGACAUACAUACACAUGCUCAUUAAUCCUAUUUCUGUUCUGUAUUUGCACGAUACCUAGCAUGCUUACUUGCCGUAGGUAUCUUUCUCUCUGCUCUCUCAGGGUCCGUUCUGUUCUACACUGCUGCCAAUUAAGAAACUUUUAUUUUAAUUCUGCCACAAUGUUUAGCUAAUGAUGGCAAAGUGAUGUUUUUAGUGCUGUGCUUAGGAAACAGAAUAGAACAGUUCAAAAAUCUCUAAUAUCACUGGAAUGAGCAGUGGCCUGGGCUAGUCAUCUGAGAAUAAUCCUACCCAAGCCCCUGGGUACGUACUUGGCUAGCUAGCCUGAGCUGCUGUGGCCACAGUUAUUUUUAGGCACUAGCUCAAGCAGAGCCAGUGCAUGUACAUCUACCCAAGCUGGCAAUAACAUCUCCCAGCUGCUGGGUACAGGUAUCCUUAGUCUAUGUCGCAGUUCUUCCUCUGUCAGAAGGGGAUAAUAGCACAUCCCUACCUCACAGGGGUUUUGUGAGGGUAAAUCUAUUAACUUGAGGUGCUUAGAAAUGAUGGUAUAUAAACCAGAUUCAACCCACCACUAGAAAUAGUCUUUAAUCUGCUGUGUCACUAACUAGUAGAGCUGGUCAAAAGUUUUUCUGAUGGAACUUUUAGCUGGAAUGGAAAAUGCCCUUUUGUAAAAACAAACACACCCGUUUCAUUUAGAAAUGGUUGAAAACGCAUUUUGAUGAGGCCAGAAUAUUAUUUUGGCACUUUUGGAACAAAAUGUUUCAACUUUUGAUUUUUGGGACCAUUGUUUUAUAAGAAAUUUUGAAACAGUAAAUGAAACAUUUUCAGCUGAGACUAAACAGGUUUUCAUAAAGUUCAGUGUGCAAGAAACUUCAAAAUCACAAUUGCCUGUGAAAUGAAAAUUUGGGCAUCUGCACUCCUCUACUAAAUAGUCUGCAUUCAGUGACUAAGGAAACAAGGCUGCAUUUGUAGAGGAGUCUCACAGGAAAACCAAUUCUGAGCAGUGUCCAUCACCCUUUAGUCUCUUUGCCCUAAGCAGCAUUUCAGUUGUGUACACCAAAGCUUGGGCUGUUUUCUUUCAGGCAGCUUUUUAUUUUUGUAGUAGUGACCAUAUGGAACUAACUCUUUGAGAGAACUUCUCUGCAGUGAUGUCUGUUUUGAGGAUAAAAUGCAGACGUCUUCAUUUGUUCAUUCAAUGAGGAUUUUAUGCAUUUAAUUCUUGACCUGGACAAUUUAAUAGUAUAUUUAUACACUGCUAUAUGCACACACAGUAAAAAUAUAUUUAUUUAGCUUUCAUUCACAUUACUCAUUAAACAGCAACACAAGUUACUUUCCUUUGCAUUUAAAGGUCAAGCCUUCAGAAGUGCACUGACUUGGUGUUGGAAACCAAAAUGCAUGUGUGUCUGUACAGGUGUGUGCUCGAACAGCAGUGUGAGGACACUAAAUCCAUCCUGGGCGGUAACAGUUUUAUAUUUUUUUUUGUUUUUGAUGAUUUGAGGAUGCUGCUGUCACCACUCCUAUUGAUCUUGGAAUUGGAUCCAUUGUUAGCCAGUAUUAAAUGUGUUUCCGGAGACUCCAGUUCAGACAGCAAUGAAAAAAUAUUUGUAGACAUUUGGGACUGUAAUCCUAGACAGGUGAGGUAUUCAUUCGAAAACUGGACUGAUGGCCUAAAAUAUCCUUGGACAGCUAAACAAGAGACUCCUCCAACUAACCACUGGGGAAAACAGUAAUAGUUAAUCAGAGAAGUUACUCUGACCUUUAAAACACAUCAUAUCAGGAAAUAAGAGGACAUAAGGAAGGGACCCAGACAUAAAACUGCAGGGAGAAAAGGUCUCUAAUACUAUUGUUUGUCCAACUUUGGAUCCUUAAGGCAGGAUCCAGAAAUAUCAGAAAGUUCACUUUGAGUAUUUUGUACCUGGGGAAAAAAAAUCUGUCCCUGGAAAACACUUACUCUCUGAGUAAUUCAUACUCAGUGAGGUUCAAACUGACUAACAGAUGACCAGCAGUGUAACUGUCCACUCAAACUGUGAGGGGAAAAAGUACUAGAAGAUGUUAAAAAUCUGAGGUAUCUGUUAUUUGUUUCAGUAGUAUGGCUAUGUGAGUUUACUUUACACUGUGUUUGCAUGUUGUACUUACAAUGGUAGGGCCUAAUUCUGCAACAGUUAUGACUGCAUGCAUAGUAAAGUUAACGGGUAAUGGUAAUUCUACAGAGUCAGAAGUCGUUGCAGUAUCUGGCCCCUGAUUUACAAAAUAUGCAAAUAGUGCAUAAAAUUCCAACAUUAAAAUGAAAUCUAAUGAACAAAAGAAUUAGUGCAUUUCAAAUCAUUCUAUCUAACUUCAUUUUUGAUAGAGUUCAAAAUAAGUAGAAUGAAUUGGCAUUAAAUGAACAAUAUUGCGAUAGGAAGCUGAAAAGCUCCUCCAAAUCCUCAAAAAUAUAUAAAUUAAUAAAUUCAGUGGCUUACAUUGUGUACAUGCUACAUCAUAAGGCAUAAUAUAAUGAAAAACACUGAAGUAAAAAAAAAAAGCCAAACAUUUUAAACUAACAAUUGAUAAUAAAAAAGUAACUAACAUGGUGGCUGAAAAAGAAAGACAAAUGCAGAGAAGCAUGCGGUGCACCGCAUGGUCCUGAGAAGAUGUUCACUUUUCUUCAGUGGCUGAUGUAUCUGUUCCAUCACUUAGUUUUUGCUUUUGCAUUCUUGUUCGAGUAGAUGCUAGAGAAAAGUGACAGUAAUUUUACCACCUUUUAUAGUAAAUCAACUUGUGCAAAACAAUUUUAAAGGGUGUAUUUAUUCAUGAUACAAAGAAUUUAACUUUUAGCCUGACAGCUUUUCUAAACAAAUUAAACCCUAAUUUGAACUACAAGUACUCAAAUAUUUAAUUCUGAAUUACUUUGGUAAUUCUGACUUGCCAGUUUAUUUUACAGCCUUAAAGAACUGUGUACUUACAUUGUACAACUCCAUGUACUUAUACUGGCUCCCAUUAUUCAAACUCUUUCUCUCUCUCUUUCCUGAGCCCUAUAUGUGGGUCAAGUCCUUUUAUUGCUCAGAGUAGCUAAUACCUCAAUCAGAAGAGAACUCUGCAUCCGAAGCCUGACUCACCAACUUCCUCUAAAAGGAACUUUUCCAAAACUUCAGUGGCUAAAUAAUCUCACACUAUUAAAAAGUAACUAGAUAAAAUACUAGAACAUCAACUCUUAAACUUUGCAACUAGUAAACUAUGAAACUUUAGUUCCCUACCCCAAUUUAACAAAGAUAUAUGUAGAGUGUUUGGUUCAGCAGACAUGCCUGUCUUAGAGAAGAAAAUCUGAUAGGUUAAACAACUGUUUUUGGUGGGGAUAAGUGGGCAUAUCCACUGAUUUAUACACAAGAUGUGACAAGCAGUGAAAAACUAUUAUAGUUAAACCAAUAUUAUGGCUGCUGAGAGCAGUGGUUCUCAACCUUUCCUGGCUACUGUACCCCUUUCUGGAGUCUGAAGCCCAAGUCCCACUGCCUGGGGCUGAAGCAUGUAACUUAGCUUCAUGGAGCCCCAGGCAAUUGCCCUGCUUGCCAUCUGGUAAUGCUAGCCCUGCACUUGCGACCCAUCCUGUGACCUCACCCUGGCGGUUGCGACCCCCAGGCUCAGAAACGCUGAUCUAGAUCAGCAGUUCUCAAACUGUGGGUUGGGACCCCAAAGUGGGUCACAAUCCCAUUUCAAUGGGGUUGCCAGGGCUGGCAUUAGACUUGCUGGGCCCAAGGCCAAAGCCUGAGCCUCGCCGCCAGGGCUGAAGCCAAAGCCUGGGUGGCGGGGCUCAGGUUACAGUUCUGCUACCUGGGGCAGUGGGGCUUGGGCUUUGGUCCCCCAGCCUGGGGUGGUGGGGCUCAAGCAGGCUCAAGUUUCAGUCCCCCCACCUGGGGUCAUGUCGUAAUUUUUGUUGUCAGAAGGGGGUCACGGGUAUAAUGAAGUUUGAGAACUCCUGAUGUAGAUGAGUUGAUGUACCCUCUGGAAAACCUCUGCAUAACCCCAGAGGUACGCGUAUCCUUGGUUGAGAAUGACUGGCUUAGAGCACUGACAAGAUGUGGUCUCAAGAGGGAGGGCAGUUUUGUUUUUAAUUUGGUGGGUAAGAAUUUUACUUGAAAAGCUGAAGGGAACCCUGUAAAAGCAGAAAGAAACAUUGAUCUGACUGCCUGUAACCACAUCCAAGGAAACAUAAAAUGUUUAUUAUAGCUGAUCUGUGGUGUUUCAGUAUUAGAACAAGGCAAUGUACAAAACUAUGCAAAAUGCAGUCUUCUGUGCAUAUACAGUUAAUGGAGCACAUGCCUUCCAGGUACUGAAAUCCAAAGCAGUUCACCUGGUCUCUUCGGUGCUGCUGCAUCUGGGGAUAAUUUGUAGUAAUUUCGUACGGGUGACUUUCCAUUAGAAAAUGGUUAGGAAUACACCUCGGUGUGACUGCUUUAAAAGGUGGACUUUAACACAGAUUUCACCGCAUGGCUAUAUGAAAGAAGCAGGGAUAGAAGACUGUGAAAACAUAGAGCUCAUUAAGGUGGAGCCUAAAGAGCACCACUCUACCAAAAGCUGCAUCUGAGACUCGCCAUCGAAUGCAGCAUGUAGCCACAUAACUUCUCUGCCCAGGAAGCCCUCUGAUCUUGAGUGUCCUGCUUUAUCUUCUGAGGGUAUUGUGAAUCUUCUCCUGAGAUCCAGUGUGGGUAGAUGAUUUUUUUCUUUUCAUACUUGAAGUCAGUAUUAAAAAAACAACUACUUUCUGGGAUGAAUUCUUCCUCUAUUAUUUUGUCCCUGUGGAAUAUGCAGUAUAGUGGCUUGCUGGAGCAUGUUAUACCGCCCCAAUCCUGCCAAGAUAACAGGUCACUGGUGGUUAAGAAGGUAUGUGAAUAUGAUCUGCCAAACAGGACCUCUGGGAACAAAGGACUGAAUGCUAAUGAAAUCUGCACUUUAAGUACUAUGCACCAGUUCCGGUGACUAUGACAUGAAAGAGCUAAUGGGACGUCAAUUGCUUUAUACCUGCAACCUCUCUCUGUACCAAGAACUGAAAAAGGUUCCAAAUAAAAAUGUAAGCCUUCAAGGAUGAUUCCUUCCUGGCCAAUAGGAGUGUUCUCUUUUCCUUUGCAGCCUGUUUUCUUUAGCUCUUCCUAUUCAGAAGCAUCAUGGACUUUGUGUUCUACUUCUGAGAGAACGCUGAGAGAAUAGGUUAUUCCUCCUUGAUAACAAGUGCAGUAUGGCCUGGGAUGUCAGAUACAUCAGCUCAGACAACUUCUGACUCAUGGUCCAGUGGAGAGCAAUCAACAUCAUACUGUUCUGUUUGAUCUUCUGUACCACUCUGGACAGCAGUGGAAUUGGACAGAAGCUAUAAUAGAGAAUUGGGAUGACCAAUCCAAGGACAGAUAUCCACUGUUGCCACUUUCUGGAGGUCCUCUGUGGAGAGGUUUUGCAACUUUUGCUGACACUGAAUACUGUUUACUAAACCAAAAGGGACUAUUUGUCUCAUCCAGUUCCCAGUCCAACUGAGAAAUCUACGAGUAGAAGAGGCAUCAUGGUCCUGUGGAAGAAGAGGGCCCCGAACUGCAGAUUGUCUCCAUACUUUCUGCAAACACUUGCUCCAAUACUCCAGCUAGAAGACAUGCAAGUCUGUACUGGGAAGCAAGGGAGGACAGAAGACAUAUCAAAGUAGAGCUAUUGCUGGUGAAAUUCCAAGACAGAAUUUAGCAGAUGGAGAGAUGUUUUGAGCUCCAAUCUCUACAAUGGAUCCAGAUACUUGAAGGAACAUAGAUGGGGGUGGGCUCUCAAAUGAAAGAGUCUCCCUGCCUCCACUGACCAAUGAAAGGGGAGCCAGACCACACGUAAACUGUAGCAAUUUUUAGGGUCGGGGGGGGGGAAGAGUGGCAGCUUUCCUUACACAAAAAUGAUGUCAUGGAAGGUCUUAGGGGUUUUUUGUGUGUGUUGUGGGGGGCCUGGAAGGGAGGCGGUAGUAGGGAGCAGUGGUACUCAAGAAUUUCUCCGAAAUCUGCCUCCAUACUAAAACCUUUUGCAGCCUAGAGUGUUAACAGCAGUUGCCUCUGAGACAACAUUGCUACUGGACCAACAGGCAGCUGGAAACACUUGUUCAUCAGAGCACCUCUGGUGGAUUGUAUUUUGGGUUUUGUACAUGUAUUUUAUUUUAUUUUUGUGUAUUAUAGCAUUUAUCUGCAACACCAACAGCUCCAAAAGAAACCAGCACAGCAACACUUAUUUACCAGACUACAAAAACUGCUUAAGCACUACGAACACCACUGUUUAACAUUCACUGUACUGAGCAUUUUAUUUCUGUAAUUAACUUAGCAAGAUUAGAUCAGUUACCAAAUCAAUUUAAAUGCAACUCUUUUGAGGUUAAGUGCAAUUUUUACAACUGGUAAACCACACUUACAGUUGAAUAAUUUAAGAGAGGCUAAACAUUCGUUUUCACAUUCAGUAUUAAAGCUUUCAGUUCAAUACUCUUUUAUAGGUCAAACCCACGCAAGUUGUCACAAACAACAGCUGAAGGUCUGAAAAGAAAGUUAGCACUAAUCUGGCUGUAACACAGUGUAUGUCUUGCCCUCAAGCCUCACCAAAUCCCCCAGAUAUCCACCAUGAGAGUUCUGUUGUACGUCCAGGGGAGUAUAUGGUAUGAUUCCUCCCUAUCCUCUUCAAAAAUGUGCCAUACAGCUCCAUAUGGUAGAUCCCAACUACAGACUGAGCACAUACUAUACAUCUCUUAAGAUCCCCUUUCUAUCCGAAAGCAAAUGAUAAAUUUACUACAACAAAUCUUUUGCAUAUUACUUAGAACCGUAUUAAGGCCAGUAUUUAUUUAGAAAGCUUCAGUCUAAGAAUUCCCAUGUUUAAGAAAAAUUUGUCAUGUUCAUACACUAUCUACAGGAAAUGUCUAUCUUACAUGAUAUCUAGGUCAGUUAGCACACUUGAAAUGGUGGCCCAGUAUUUCCAUUUUAAACUAGAUGGAAACUCUAAGACUGAGUAACAUAAUAAACGUACCCAGUAAUUCCUGCUGUUACUGAAAUUAUGUACAUAUUUAGUAAGAUUUUUAUUUGGAGAAGUUGGCAGGCAGGGAAACAACCUUUUUUAUCCAAGACUGUCAUUUCUACUCAUUUACUACAGUAGACAAUACUUACUCAUUUCUGCAAGCUUUUGCUGGAAUUUGGACUCUCCAGGUAGGUGUUUGCUGCGGACAGAAAACAUUUAAUUGAAGCAAGUAGCAUGUUCUUUUUAUUUUUGUCUAAAUAAAGCAGGUUACUAACUGUGGUUAGUUCACGUCAGCUCCGUCACCACCUCUGUCUGGUUUCUUAUAAAAAAUGCAAACCUAGCCCUAGUAUUUUUUCCUGCAUACCAAAGCUGAUUCAAGAGUUGUUAGCUUUCUGAUACUCAAUUUUAUCCUCAAUUUUGCUAAGUUUGACCAAAGCCACUUGAGACAGUAGUUUAAUAUCCAAUUCUGGUCCAGCAGGAGAGACUCUUGCUCCUGACACUAGAGAGGUUCAGAUUCAAGAAGCACUAGGCUAAAAUCUAUCACUAAAUAUUUUAUAUUAUUCCAUAUAUUAGGUGAGAGAGGUAAUAUCUUGUAUUGGACCAACUUCUGUUAGCGAGAGAGACAAGCUUUCGAACUUACGCAGAGCUCUUCUUCAGGUCUGGGAAACAAAACAAUGGAAAAUACUGAAUUUUGACAACACAGCUACAACACUGCAUACGUACAUUAGCUAAGACAUAGCACCUCUGUAUGAUGGUAGCUUGUUUGCUUUGUUAUUAUUUUGCUAAACCUUAUGUUAUAGGCCUCCAGAAAUAAAAGUACAUAUAGCUUCAUGACAAGUUAAGAACUAUAUCCUACCUUCCAUCUGCCUCAUCCUGUCCUUCUAUAUCAAAGCGAAGUCUCUUCAGUGGUUUAGGAGCAGUGCUUACUUCAGCACUACGUUUCAGCUGACGGUCACUGCUACCCACCAUUUGGUUUAUUUUCUGAAACUUCUCAGAAGUCUGGGAUUACAAGACCAUAAAAAACAUUCCCCAUUAACUAUGUACAUUUUCCAGACUACUAGCCAAAAAUCAAUUUUUCAGAGUUCUAUAUAUCAGCUGUCUUUUAAGGGCUCUUUAAAACGUUCCCUAACUACCCUAAUAUAACAUGGAAGAUCUUUUAUAAAUUCAGGCUAUUUCAGAGAUGCUAGCAAGUGCCCCAGCAAUCUGUGUGUUUACAAAUUCCACAACACACACAACUAAAGCAGUGACACUGACCAGUUCUACAAAACAGAAAACUGCACAUUCCUUCCGAUGUUUUUUAUAUAUAUACACAAGAUUUGACAUUCAAAAACUUUCACUCACCCCAAAUGAUUCACCAAUUGACACCAGGAUUCUGUCAAGACAAACAAGAUGACAACCUUUAAAGAUUAAGCCUUAUUUACAGUGAAAAGACAGAAACACUCACAAACUUGCACAAUUUGGCAUGAAGACUAGUGAAGAGAACAUAUGCUUUUUAAGACAUUGGCAUACUAAACUAAAGAAAUCACUCCUUUAUCUCUUAAAAAUAUGCUAAGCAUUCAAUGAGGGCAUAAUAUUCACCACAACCUUAAUUUCUUCUUAAAUUUUUACAAUUCUAGACAGAAUUGUAGAGGAAGUGCUGAACCACCAAAUUAGAAUCACCUUGAACUGCACGUGGAAGAGAAAUUGUGGAAUGGAGAGAAUUAGAGGCCCGCUUAGUCCAUUCCAUGCUUUUUGACAGGAACACCCCGUUCUCAGUAGGUGGGUAGCCCAGACAUGCCCUUCCUUUGAUCAUUACCUUUAGAUGUUUGCUAACCAAUCAUAGCAGGAGUUUAACCUAAAACAAACAAUGAUAUUUGUAACUUUUUCAGUGUCCAUGCCCACGCAAUCCUUGGCCUCUGUGCUGAGCCUUCCCACGAGGGGCCUGUUGUGAUGGUGUUCACUGGGCACUAGACUAAGACAACAAACUCAUUUUGCAUAGGCCAAACAGCCAGAGUGUGGCAAUGGAUGAUGUUCAAUUGCUACCAUCCCUGGCUGAAUCAAAAACUAGUAGCAUAAAGCUAGACUGCUGACCCAUUACGAGUCCUCUGAGCCAUCAGUGCACAUGCUGGUUGCACUGAAGUAGAUCACAUUUUACAUGAAUAUGAUAUACAUAGACAGUGAUAAUAUAUAACAAAUCAAAUGAGGUACAUCGAAGAAGAGAUGUUUCUAUUUCAUACUAAAUCCAUCUUCCAGUGGAUUGAUUGCCAACUAAAAGGCCUCAUUCUAAGUAAAGGUUGCAAAAUAGGGCUCAAACUUUGGACCAAAAGAAAGAGCUAUAGCCAUUGAUAUCUAACAAAAUCACAGUGUAUAAUUUCCUAACUUGCUUGAAUUAAAUACUUAUUUGUUACUGUCA
RNA transcript from Chelonia mydas (Green sea turtle), 15108 nucleotides. It is a transcript of the gene named RCC1 and BTB domain-containing protein 2, with no coding region annotated. The transcript has 20 exons. NCBI's taxonomy places the organism in Eukaryota, Metazoa, Chordata, Testudines, Cheloniidae. The record is from RefSeq and is a predicted model, not a curated record.